This 253-nucleotide ribosomal RNA is filed under the name uncultured bacterium. Its description in RNAcentral is "partial 16S ribosomal RNA". It matches the Rfam family "Bacterial small subunit ribosomal RNA", at positions 524 to 776 of the family's 1533-position model. The record is from RNAcentral.
AACGUAGGAGGCGAGCGUUAUCCGGAUUUACUGGGCGUAAAGCGCGCGCAGGCGGGUCUGUGAGUCGGACGUGAAAGCUCCUGGCUUAACUGGGAGAGGCCGUUCGAUACUGCAGGGCUUGAGGUUGGGAGAGGGGUGUGGAAUUCCCGGUGUAGUGGUGGAAUGCGUAGAUAUCGGGAGGAACACCUGUGGCGAAAGCGGCACCCUGGCCCACACCUGACGCUGAGGUGCGAAAGCGUGGGUAGCAAACAGG